This 405-nucleotide ribosomal RNA is filed under the name uncultured Pseudolabrys sp. Its description in RNAcentral is "bacterial SSU rRNA". It matches the Rfam family "Bacterial small subunit ribosomal RNA", at positions 354 to 776 of the family's 1533-position model. Lineage: Bacteria; Pseudomonadati; Pseudomonadota; Alphaproteobacteria; Hyphomicrobiales; Xanthobacteraceae. The record is from RNAcentral.
GUGGGGAAUAUUGGACAAUGGGCGCAAGCCUGAUCCAGCCAUGCCGCGUGGAUGAUGAAGGCCCUAGGGUUGUAAAGUCCUUUUAACGGGGAAGAUAAUGACGGUACCCGUAGAAUAAGCCCCGGCUAACUUCGUGCCAGCAGCCGCGGUAAUACGAAGGGGGCUAGCGUUGCUCGGAAUUACUGGGCGUAAAGCGCACGUAGGCGGUCUUUUAAGUCGGAGGUGAAAUCCUGGAGCUCAACUCCAGAACUGCCUUCGAUACUGGAAGACUUGAGUCCGGGAGAGGUGAGUGGAACUGCGAGUGUAGAGGUGAAAUUCGUAGAUAUUCGCAAGAACACCAGUGGCGAAGGCGGCUCACUGGCCCGGUACUGACGCUGAGGUGCGAAAGCGUGGGGAGCAAACAGG